AUUUCCACGUCUGAAUUCCCUCAUUUGAACUUGAGGGUAGUUAAUGAGGAGACAUCACAAACCUUUCCAGACCAUGAUUCUGUGUUAACCAGGAGGUCUUAAGAACAGGCACCAGGAGCCCAUUAUCAUCCCAUUUCUCCACGUCAAUCUCCUUGCCCCUAUUAACAAGCCAGCCUCAGGUCCAGCCCCUGGCAUUGCUCUCCCCAGCCCACAGUUGCCUCCUCCUCCACCUCCUCUUUGCCUCCCUCUAUUCAUCUUUCAUCACUUGUCAUCCUGGAAACAAAAUUUACCCCCAGCCCGCCCCAGAGAUCCAUUUUGUCAAUGCUUUCUGUCAUCUUUGUUUGCCAGAGGAAAACAAAACAAAUUUGCACUACAAUUAAAUGCAAACAACCUUAAGAAAGUUAGUAGGUAACUCACACCAAGUUUUAAAAGACCUAGCAAAUCCUUUCCUGAGUGCAGAGAGAAAAACAUGUGCGUGCGGAGCGGGGCACAAGGAGGACGUUGUGAGGGAGGAAAGGAGCGAUCAUCCAUGGAGCGUCAGGUAAAAUGAGUGAUUUAUUAGCCACCGACAAGCAGCUCUUUCAUGUUGAAGAUCUUGUUCCAAGAAACACAGGACCUGCCACACUAGACAAAGAUUCAGUAAAUACAGAAGGAUGAAUGAAUGAAUGAAAAAGCAAGACAAGUGUCACUGCUCCUGCUAGAGGCUGCUCUGCCUUCGGGGUCCCAGAGUGAAGAUGACAUGACAGAGCCAUAGCCAGCCCAAAGCUGACUAAUAUGAGUAACAAAUAGACCUCAGAGGGUAUAAGCCCUUAAGAUUUUGGAGUUUCCAAGACCACAGCAAAACCUAACCUUUUCUCCCUGAUAUAUAAUCCCAGUGAUACAUUUGCAUAGUUCUUUCACACUCCCAAAACCUUGUCUCACAUUAUUUACUUCAACCAUCCUAUGAAGUGUGGAAACCAGACGGUGAUAUUUCUACACUAGAGACCAGCUGGAUCCUUGUCUUGUUCUCCAAUGUCACUUAACAUGAGAUAAAUAAAUAUGUUCUCAGCUGGAAGCAUGGGUCCGUGGAGUCGUCUGUAAGAAGCAGAUGAAGAGCCAGUUAGUCACUGUAAUGUGGAUGAUUCACAGUUACAACUCUCUAUUUGAGGCUCCUAUUAGAGAUUGCUGGGGUUUUUCUGUCCAUGGCAGCUUCACAGGCCUAGAUAUCUUUCCAGGCCUCUGGUUGUCCAUCAGUUUAACCUGCUCUGGUGGAUACCAGUUUCUUUGAGGUGAUCUCAUAGGACCACUAAAUUAGAUGUGGUUUAGGCCCCAUAGACUAUAUUUUAAAUUAUACCAAAUCAAAUAUAACCUUCAGAUUUGGUGAAACUUAACUUAUUAAUUCUCCAUUGCAAAUGACCACAAAAUAUAUUGGCUUAGAACAACAAGAAGCAUGUAUUAUCUCAUACAAUUUCAAGCAGUCAAAAAUUCAGGAGAAUCUUCGCUGAGUGGUUCCGGUUCGGGACUUCUCUUCAGUUCACGGUCAAAAUUUUGAGCAAGGCUGCAGUCAUCUCUAUGCUUGGCUGAAGCUGGAGGAUCUGUCUUCGUGGUGGCUUGUUUGCAUGGUGGCAAGUUAGUGCUGUCUCUUGCAAGGAGGCCUCAGUUCCUCGCCACAUGUGUUUUGCCAGAGGGCUGCUUGAGCCGCCUCAAGACGUGACAGCUGACUUCCUCCAGAGUGAGUGGCCCAAAAGAAAGCAAGGAGCGGUCCACAAUCCUUUUAUGACUUCGUCCUGCAAGUCAUGCACCAUCGCUUCUGUCACAUUUUAUUCACUUGAAGCGCAUUACUAAGCCCAGCUCACUCUUAAGAGGAGUGAAACCAGACUCCACCUUUUUGAAAAGAGGAGUACCACAGGAUCUGUGAACAUAUUUUACAACCACCACAUGCGUACAGGUAUUUAUCUCUGUCCGGCAGCACGUUCAGUUCUCCCCAACUCUGGGCAUAUUGUGGACAUUGUAUUUCCUGCGUCCUCAUGCUGGAUAGGGCCAUGCUAUUAGAUCUGGCCAAUGAGUUGUGAGUGGGCUGUUCAAUAAAUACUUCUGAAAACUUGGCUAUUUAUAUGGAAAAGACAAGAAGACAUCCCUACUUUAUGUCAUUUGCAAAAAUAAAAUGCAGAUGAAUUAAAGAAGUAAAGAAGAAAAAUCAGUAAUGUGAAAAUUUUCAAAAAAAUUAUAUUUUGUGACAUUGGAGAAAGUGAGAAUUUCUUAAAGAAGGCAAACAAUGUAAAGAUAAAAUUUCUCUUCAACAAAAGCUAUAACCAACAAAGUGAAGGGUAAGACACAAAUAAGGAGAAGACAUAGGCAGCUCAUGGAAUCAGAAAAAGAAUCCAAGGUAUAUACAGGAGUCAUGGAAAACUGUAAGGAAAAGAAUAAUAAACCUGUAAAAAGAAAUAAACAAUGCCUAUGAUAAGACAAGUCACAGAAGAGGAGCUGCAUGAUGCUCAAAGUCACUAAUAAACCAGGAAAAUGCAAAAUAAACUGAAAUGAGAUACCAUUUCACACGUGUCAGACUGGCAAAAAAUACUGGGUCUGAGAGCCCGGACUCUCAGCCAGGCAGCAGUUGCUGGGGUGGAUGCAAAUUGGUACAGGCACUACGGAGAGCAACAGAACAAGAGCCAAUAAAGAUCUCAGUUGUAAAUAGUCUACGACCCAGAACUUCCCCUUCUAGUUCCACACUCUUUACCUUGGAGAAGGCCGAGGGUUGUGUACACGAGCUGACGUGCAAGGAUGCCGCUGAGGCACAGCCUAGAACAAUGAGAACCUGAAAAUAAUUGUACCAUUUCUCAGAUGUGGUUAAUUCGUACAGUGGAAUACCAUACAGCAGUUAGAUAAAUGACCCAGGUCUCCCGUUACCAACAUGCUACAUGUACCGUGUUGGUAAAAUCUCAAAAUUCAACAAUGAGUGAAAAAACAAUUCGCAAAUGACAUUCACAAUUUGAUUCUAUUUAUGUACAUUUUAAAACACGCAAAACAAUACCAUAUAGUGUUACUGAAGGAAUACAUAUGUAGAGAAGACAAGAAAACCUGUACGCAUUUCAAGGUCAAGGUUACUUCUGAG
This is a non-coding RNA of Equus caballus (horse), 3091 nucleotides long. Lineage: Eukaryota; Metazoa; Chordata; Mammalia; Perissodactyla; Equidae. The record is from RefSeq and is a predicted model, not a curated record.